RNAcentral lists this long non-coding RNA (832 nucleotides) under Androctonus crassicauda. Lineage: Eukaryota; Metazoa; Arthropoda; Arachnida; Scorpiones; Buthidae. The record is from RNAcentral.
CCGACUUUGCAAACAUAUUUGUAGAAUGGUUUCAUGUCUUCUGGCUGUUGCUGUGGUAAGGUUUCCAGUUCUGAUGUCUUCCUUGUACUCUUUAAUCAUGCAUCAUAACUUCUUUUUGUACUUUCUAUUCAUUCCUAGAUGUUUCUAUAAAGGUGGCAAAUAUGGAUUAUGAAUUAAUAGUCUGUAAGAAGAUAGCAUUCUCUCCAGUGUUCAUUCUGUAUGGUUACAGGAUCUUAUCUGAUAUAAGAAAGCUGCUUUCAGAGCACUCCUUAAGAAGUUCUCCAGCCACUAUACUAUCCAAGAAUCCAAAUAUGCAGAAUAUAAUACAAUUAUUAGUCAGAUUAUGGCCCAUGGUUAUAUCAAAAGAUUUAUUAAAGCUCUAUAAUGAUGUGAUAUCAAAACAGUCUAUAACAACCUAGUGCAAAUGGUACUCGAGUAAAUGAUACUUGGUAAUAGUGGACACAUAAAUUGAGAUCAGGAUCUUAGUCCCACCCUAGGAUGUAUAAAAGGGAAACUUAGUUAAAAUCUAUGGAUAAGUAUUCCAUGCAGAAGAUAGCCAACUGUUUACUUUCAUGUUAGAAAUAAUAUCAAAUCCCAAGUGGACUCUCAAGCUGAUAUUUAUAUCUUGCCAAUAUUCAAUCAUAAUAUACUUAUGACUAAGGAAUACAUCAAAAGUUAUUAAUAGAAGUUUACAAUGCAAAUUAAAGAUUAUAAAGGAAUACGUUAGAACUGGAAGUCUUGCUACAGCGGUGGCCAGAAUAUAUGAAACAGAUUUGCAAGUAUGUUAGGAUCAAACUAGAAUUCUAAAAGAAUUCAGUGUAUAGAAUUGAAU